Molecule: ribosomal RNA, 1372 nt
Filed under: uncultured bacterium
Lineage: Bacteria
Description: bacterial SSU rRNA
Rfam family: Bacterial small subunit ribosomal RNA
Source: RNAcentral
GAUGAACGCUGGCGGCGUGCCUAAUACAUGCAAGUCGAGCGAACGGACGAGAAGCUUGCUUCUCUGAUGUUAGCGGCGGACGGGUGAGUAACACGUGGAUAACCUACCUAUAAGACUGGGAUAACUUCGGGAAACCGGAGCUAAUACCGGAUAAUAUUUUGAACCGCAUGGUUCAAAAGUGAAAGACGGUCUUGCUGUCACUUAUAGAUGGAUCCGCGCAGCAUUAGCUAGUUGGUAAGGUAACGGCUUACCAAGGCAACGAUGCAUAGCCGACCUGAGAGGGUGAUCGGCCACACUGGAACUGAGACACGGUCCAGACUCCUACGGGAGGCAGCAGUAGGGAAUCUUCCGCAAUGGGCGAAAGCCUGACGGAGCAACGCCGCGUGAGUGAUGAAGGUCUUCGGAUCGUAAAACUCUGUUAUUAGGGAAGAACAUAUAUGUAAGUAACUGUGCACAUCUUGACGGUACCUAAUCAGAAAGCCACGGCUAACUACGUGCCAGCAGCCGCGGUAAUACGUAGGUGGCAAGCGUUAUCCGGAAUUAUUGGGCGUAAAGCGCGCGUAGGCGGUUUUUUAAGUCUGAUGUGAAAGCCCACGGCUCAACCGUGGAGGGUCAUUGGAAACUGGAAAACUUGAGUGCAGAAGAGGAAAGUGGAAUUCCAUGUGUAGCGGUGAAAUGCGCAGAGAUAUGGAGGAACACCAGUGGCGAAGGCGACUUUCUGGUCUGUAACUGACGCUGAUGUGCGAAAGCGUGGGGAUCAAACAGGAUUAGAUACCCUGGUAGUCCACGCCGUAAACGAUGAGUGCUAAGUGUUAGGGGGUUUCCGCCCCUUAGUGCUGCAGCUAACGCAUUAAGCACUCCGCCUGGGGAGUACGACCGCAAGGUUGAAACUCAAAGGAAUUGACGGGGACCCGCACAAGCGGUGGAGCAUGUGGUUUAAUUCGAAGCAACGCGAAGAACCUUACCAAAUCUUGACAUCCUUUGACAACUCUAGAGAUAGAGCUUUCCCCUUCGGGGGACAAAGUGACAGGUGGUGCAUGGUUGUCGUCAGCUCGUGUCGUGAGAUGUUGGGUUAAGUCCCGCAACGAGCGCAACCCUUAAGCUUAGUUGCCAUCAUUAAGUUGGGCACUCUAAGUUGACUGCCGGUGACAAACCGGAGGAAGGUGGGGAUGACGUCAAAUCAUCAUGCCCCUUAUGAUUUGGGCUACACACGUGCUACAAUGGACAAUACAAAGGGCAGCGAAACCGCGAGGUCAAGCAAAUCCCAUAAAGUUGUUCUCAGUUCGGAUUGUAGUCUGCAACUCGACUACAUGAAGCUGGAAUCGCUAGUAAUCGUAGAUCAGCAUGCUACGGUGAAUACGUUCCCGGGUCU